UGGGGAAUAUUGGACAAUGGGCGAAAGCCUGAUCCAGCCAUGCCGCGUGUGUGAAGAAGGUCUUCGGAUUGUAAAGCACUUUAAGUUGGGAGGAAGGGUUGUAGAUUAAUACUCUGCAAUUUUGACGUUACCGACAGAAUAAGCACCGGCUAACUCUGUGCCAGCAGCCGCGGUAAUACAGAGGGUGCAAGCGUUAAUCGGAAUUACUGGGCGUAAAGCGCGCGUAGGUGGUUAGUUAAGCUGGAUGUGAAAUCCCCGGGCUCAACCUGGGAACUGCAUUCAAAACUGACUGACUAGAGUAUGGUAGAGGGUGGUGGAAUUUCCUGUGUAGCGGUGAAAUGCGUAGAUAUAGGAAGGAACACCAGUGGCGAAGGCGACCACCUGGACUGAUACUGACACUGAGGUGCGAAAGCGUGGGGAGCAAACAGGAUUAGAUACCCUUGUAGUCCCUGAGCGGGCUGGCAAGGCGCAU
This 472-nucleotide ribosomal RNA is filed under the name uncultured bacterium. RNAcentral describes it as "bacterial SSU rRNA". It matches the Rfam family "Bacterial small subunit ribosomal RNA", at positions 355 to 825 of the family's 1533-position model. The record is from RNAcentral.